RNAcentral lists this transfer RNA (89 nucleotides) under Chloroflexi bacterium OLB15. RNAcentral describes it as "tRNA-Ser". It matches the Rfam family "tRNA". Rfam says of the family: Transfer RNA (tRNA) molecules are approximately 80 nucleotides in length. The record is from RNAcentral. Lineage: Bacteria; Bacillati; Chloroflexota.
GGAGGGAUGGCCGAGCGGUUUAAGGCAGUGGUCUUGAAAACCACCGUGUCGCUUUGCGGCACCGUGGGUUCGAAUCCCACUCCCUCCGC